UCUCAAAUACCAUAUUCGAACACGUUAGCACUUAACAGCAUUUUGAUCGAGGCUCAAACUUCCAGCGUUUUAUUGGGUAUUUUCUUUUCUGCUCCUUUUUUUACAGUAGAAUAUUGAUUGGUGAUAGUUUUGGUUGCUGAAAACUUAGAAAAUGGAAAAGUUACAAUUUCUGGGUUUUGGAUUCUCUUUUGUGGAUAAAUAGAGAACAGGUUUAAUUGUAUUUUGAAGCAUCAACUUCUUUCAAGCUUUGGAUUAUGAGUAUAAGUAUUGGGCUUCUAAGUUUUGUCUAAAUUUUGGUGUUUUUCAGCUCUUGAUUGUGUUAGUAUUGAAAGCUUAGCUUGAUUAAGUUGGAGGAGUUUUGAUGGUUUUGCAUACAUCUAAAUUAUUGCACUCCUGAAAGGAUCAUGUAAACUGCUUAUAUGACUAUUGGGUUUUGAUAUUCUCCUGGACUGUUGGAGUUAUUGAGGUCCACGUCUGUUUAAAGUGGAUUAGAAGAACUCAGAGUUGAAGAGGGAUUAGUUGAGAGUGCAAAAUGUAUUGCAAUUUUCUGGAACAUGGAACUGAGUAUGCUAGGCAGGCUGUUAAGGAGGAUGAUGCCGGAAACUAUGCUAAAGCUUUUCAGCUUUACAUGAAUGCAUUAGAGUACUUCCAUACUCAUUUGAAGUAUGAGAAGAAUCAACAAGUUGGAAAAACAAUUAGGCAAAAAUGUAUGGGAUACUUGAAGAGAGCAGAGGAAAUUCGGGCCAUUCUUGAUAAUGUGGGGAGUACAGCCACCUCAAAUGGUUCUGCUGUAGGGGCUGCAGAGCCAAAGAGAAAGCCAAAUCUGAAAGAUGGAGAAGGAAAAGACAAGGAGGAUCUAGAGCAAGCAAAGCUUAGGAUAGGACUUGAUUCUGUUAUCAUUAGGGAGAAACCAAAUGUGAAAUGGAAUGAUGUGGCAGGGCUUGAGAGUGCCAAACAGGCAUUGCAAGAGGCUGUGAUCUUGCCUGUGAAAUUCCCACAAUUUUUUACAGGGAAGAGAAAACCAUGGAGGGCCUUUUUAUUAUAUGGUCCACCUGGAACAGGGAAGUCAUACUUAGCAAAGGCUGUUGCAACAGAGGCAGACUCAACUUUCUUCAGUGUUUCUUCCUCAGACCUUGUUUCCAAAUGGAUGGGUGAAAGUGAGAAGCUAGUUUCAAAUCUUUUCCAAAUGGCUCGUGAUAAUGCUCCUUCCAUCAUUUUCAUUGAUGAAAUUGAUUCAUUAUGUGGUAAACGGGGUGAAGGCAACGAGAGUGAAGCAUCUCGGCGCAUCAAAACAGAACUUCUAGUGCAAAUGCAGGGUAUAGGGAAUGAUGAUCAUAAAGUUCUUGUUCUUGCAGCCACAAAUACACCCUAUGCUCUGGAUCAGGCCAUUCGGAGGCGUUUUGACAAGAGAAUAUACAUUCCGCUCCCAGAUUUGAAGGCAAGGAAACACAUUUUUAAGGUGCAUCUUGGAGAUACUCCGCACAAUUUGACCGAAAGUGAUUUUGAGCACUUGGCUCAGAAAACAGAAAGCUUUUCAGGUUCAGAUAUUUCCAUCUGUGUUAAAGAUGUACUUUUUGAGCCUGUUCGUAAAACCAGAGAUGCUAAAUAUUUCAUGGAGACUUCUGAUGGCAUUUGGUUCCCUUGUGAACCAACUCAACAAGGAGCUGUCAAGAUCACAUUGGAGGAACUUGAUGCACAAGGCCUUGCUUCAAAGAUUCUUCCACCGCCAAUCACAAGAGCAGAUUUUGAUAAAGUGCUGGCAAGGCAGAAGCCAACAGUGAGUAAAGCUGAUCUUGAGGUGCAUGAAAGAUUCACAAAGGAGUUUGGAGAG
This 1831-nucleotide unclassified non-coding RNA is filed under the name Hevea brasiliensis (rubber tree). The record is from RNAcentral. Lineage: Eukaryota; Viridiplantae; Streptophyta; Magnoliopsida; Malpighiales; Euphorbiaceae.